AUGGAGGCGACUGCAAUCUACGAUUCUCGGCUUGGGACCUGGGUUAUGGUGUCCGAUGGAGAAACUCCGACAAGUGCGGUCUUGGAUGGGCUCCUGUCACAUGCGUCUAUGUUGUUCCGAGGGGUGGAGAGCGCUCUCUGUGUUGGAGCAGCCUUCGGUUUGUGCUGGGCAGCUUGGAGGUACUACGAGCGCAACUCGUGCCUGCGCAGCUACGGCCGUGACAUGACCGGCAGCAAGCAGGCAGCCAGCCCGGUGGUCGGCCGGGACAGCGAGAUAGACCGUGUUGUCUCCAUCCUCUGCCGCAAGACCAAGAACUGUGCCGCGCUGGUCGGUGCUGCAGGAGUUGGCAAGACGGCCAUCGCCGAGGGCCUUGCACAGCGCAUCGCUGCCGGGAAGGUCCCUGCGGCACUCGCCGGGGCACGCGUCGUGGAGGUUGAUCUCACGGCGAUGGUUUCUGGGACUGUGUUCCGUGGCAUGUUCGAGGAAGGCAUAAAAAGCGUGAUAAAAUAG
RNAcentral lists this ribosomal RNA (510 nucleotides) under Triticum aestivum (bread wheat). Its description in RNAcentral is "partial small subunit ribosomal RNA". The record is from RNAcentral. Lineage: Eukaryota; Viridiplantae; Streptophyta; Magnoliopsida; Poales; Poaceae.